UAAGCCAUAUUUUCUUUCCUUGUGCAUCAUUUUUAGGGUUAAAAAUAUUUUUGGUCACUGGGGUUAGGAUGGAAAACAAAAUGUCACCGAAAUUACAAUUUUUCAAAUUUCGUCAUCUCAUUUGCAGUCGUUAACAAAUUAAGUCACAUCCCCUAAUUCCAUCAGUUUUGAGUGCACGUGUUGCGUGUGUGCAGAGGCAAAAUUGGAACUCCAAUUCAAUCUUGAUCAUCAUCAUCAUCCCAGCGCUGCCAAUCCCCCUCUUUCUCUCCCUCCCAUGUUAGCCACCUGCACAACAUCCUCACCCAUCCACCUAGGUCACAACUAACCUCACCGGUGACAACACCUUUCCUCCUCAAUUUCG
This 361-nucleotide long non-coding RNA is filed under the name Prunus persica (peach). RNAcentral describes it as "long non-coding RNA (PPER_LNC007811)". Lineage: Eukaryota; Viridiplantae; Streptophyta; Magnoliopsida; Rosales; Rosaceae. The record is from RNAcentral.